Molecule: non-coding RNA, 28 nt
Filed under: Mus musculus (house mouse)
Lineage: Eukaryota; Metazoa; Chordata; Mammalia; Rodentia; Muridae
Source: RNAcentral
UUAAAAUCNGAUGCACUGUGGAAAGGGC